Molecule: long non-coding RNA, 309 nt
Filed under: Hordeum vulgare
Lineage: Eukaryota; Viridiplantae; Streptophyta; Magnoliopsida; Poales; Poaceae
Description: long non-coding RNA (HVUL_LNC015185)
Source: RNAcentral
GGUAUAGUUGAGUUAUAGGUGUUGGUGACCGAAGGUUUUCUCAGUGUCCCGGAUGAGAUCACGGACGUCACGAGGGUUUCGGGAAUGGUCCAGGAACGAAGAUUGAUAUAUAGGAUUGUUUCAUUUGGCCCCCGUAAAGAUUUUGGGCAUUGCCGGCAGUGUACCGGGAGUGACGAAUGGGUUCAAGGUUUUUAUCGGGAGGGAGCCACCCACCCGGAAGAGAACCUAAUAGCCCAUGGGUGGCGCACCAGCCCUUGGUGGGCUGGUGAGGCCAACCCAAUAGGGCUAUUUCGGCCAAGAGGAAAAAAU